RNAcentral lists this non-coding RNA (31 nucleotides) under Rattus norvegicus (Norway rat). The record is from RNAcentral. Lineage: Eukaryota; Metazoa; Chordata; Mammalia; Rodentia; Muridae.
UCUGACAAGAGAGCUGUCAUGCCUUCUGCCC